Molecule: non-coding RNA, 73 nt
Organism: Clostridiales bacterium 43-6
Lineage: Bacteria; Bacillati; Bacillota; Clostridia; Eubacteriales
Source: Rfam
GGGCCAUUAGCUCAGCCGGUAGAGCACUUGACUUUUAAUCAAGUUGUCCCGCGUUCGAAUCGCGGAUGGCUCA